AUGACACUACUAGUCCUCCUCGUCCUGGCAGUCUCGCUUGCCUGGCCGGCGUCCAGCCAGCCUCUGCCGGUGCUUGUUCCGUCCAUAGCCCUGGAGGGCGCCCGCGUGCCCGUCCCUGCGCGCGCGCUCGCCACCGGCGGCGUGGUACUCAGCAGCACAAAGGCGCACUUCACCUUGCUCCGACGCGACGUGUACCGCCCGUUCGUGGACGCGUUCGCCAAGGCCCUGGUGCAGCAGGGUGCGCAGGGCGGCCCCGUGGCGCGCGCGGUGAAGCCCGUGGCGCCGUUCGAGCUGUGCUACGACACGCGGUCGCUCGCCAACACGCGGACCGGGUACUGGGUGCCGGACAUCAGUCUGGCGCUCGAGGGUGGGAUGAACUAUUCGAUGAACGGCUUGCUCUCGAUGGUGAAUGUGCCGGGGGGCGCGGCGUGCCUUGCGUUCGCGGAGACGAAGGGGGUGAAGGCCGGGGACGGCAGCGCGCCGGCGGUGAUCAUCGGAGGGUUCCAGAUGGAGAACGUCCUGCUGGAGUUCGACAUGGAGAAGAAGCGGCUCGGGUUCUUCAGGCUGCCGUUCUUCACGCGGUGUGGCCACUUCAACUUCACCCGGACCGGCUAG
This 615-nucleotide ribosomal RNA is filed under the name Triticum aestivum (bread wheat). RNAcentral's name for it is "partial small subunit ribosomal RNA". The record is from RNAcentral. Lineage: Eukaryota; Viridiplantae; Streptophyta; Magnoliopsida; Poales; Poaceae.